AACUGUAAACAUACGGUGGUGGGGGAGACUUGUAGUCAACCUUAGGGGCGGGAGAGUAAUAUGGUGGUGGUGGAGAGCUGUAGACGUAUGGUGCUGGAGGAGACUUGUAGUCUACCUUAGGGGCUGGCGAGUAGUAUGGUGGUGGUGGAGAACUGUAAACAUACGGUGGUGGGGGAGACUUGUAGUCAACCUUAGGGGCUCGUAGAGUAAUAUGGUGGUGGUGGAGAGCUGUAGACGUAUGGUGGAGGAGGAGACUUGUAUACAACCUUAGGGGAUGGAGAAUAGUACGGUGGUGGUGGGGAACUGUAAACAUAUGGUGGUGGAGGAGACUUGUAGUCUACCUUUGGGGAUGGAGAGUAGUAUGGUGGUGGUGGAGAGCUGUAGACGUAUGGUGGAGGAGGAGACUUGUAUACAACCUUAGGGGAUGGAGAGUAGUACGGUGGUGGUGGGGAACUGUAAACAUAUGGUGGUGGAGGAGACUUGUAGUCUACCUUAGGGGAUGGAGAGUAGUAUGGUGGUGGUGGAGAACUAUAGACAUAUGGAGGAGGAGGAGACUUGUAUACAACCUUAGGGGAUGGAGAAUAGUAUGGUGGUGGUGGAGAGCUGUAAACAUACGGUGGUGGAGGAGACUUGUAGUGAACCUUAGGUGUUGGAGAGUAAUAUGGUGGUGGUGGAGAACUGUAAACAUAUGGUGGUGGAGGAGACUUGUAUACAACCUUAGGAGAUGGAGAGUAAUAUGGUGGUGGUGGAGAGUUAUAGACGUAUGGGGGAGGAGAAGACUUGUAUACGACCUUUGGAGAUGGGGAAUAACAUGGAGGAGGUGGUGGACACACACAUACAUGUGGGUGUGGUGGAGAUUUGUAGUGUACUUUAGGAGAAGGUGAGUAGUAUGGAGGUGGUGGAGAACUGUAAACAUAUGGUGGUGGAGGAGAUUUGUAGUGUACUUUAGGUGAAGGUGAAUAAUAUGGUGGUGGUGGAGAACUGUAC
This 987-nucleotide long non-coding RNA is filed under the name Capsella rubella. Its description in RNAcentral is "long non-coding RNA (CRUB_LNC002522)". The record is from RNAcentral. Lineage: Eukaryota; Viridiplantae; Streptophyta; Magnoliopsida; Brassicales; Brassicaceae.